Molecule: transfer RNA, 76 nt
Filed under: Acidobacteriota bacterium
Lineage: Bacteria; Pseudomonadati; Acidobacteriota
Description: tRNA-Val
Rfam family: tRNA
About the family: Transfer RNA (tRNA) molecules are approximately 80 nucleotides in length. Their secondary structure includes four short double-helical elements and three loops (D, anti-codon, and T loops).
Source: RNAcentral
AGGCGCGUAGCUCAGUUGGCAGAGCGCUGCCUUGACACGGUAGGGGUCUGGGGUUCAAAUCCCCACGCGCCUACCA